UCCUAGGAGCACGAAUGCAAAUUUUGGGUUGUUCAUCUCUCCUGGUCCAGUAGUCUAUUUGUACAGUAGUUUCCUUAUGUCACAUUUGUCUCCUAGUUGAGGCUAUGGGGUAAUAUUCUCUGAUUUGUAUAAGAGUAAGUUAUACUCCCUCCAUUUCAAAUUGUAGGUCGUUUUGGCUUUUGUAGGUUCGUAGAUGUCGCUAUGCACUUAGAUAUAUACUAGGUUUAGAUUCGUAACAAAAUUUAUGAACCUAAUAAUGUCAAAACGACCUGCAUUUUGGAACGGAGGGAGUAAGUAUUAAGAUUUGUAUGCAGCCACUGUGUGAAUAUAGUUGAAAUGCG
RNAcentral lists this long non-coding RNA (341 nucleotides) under Setaria italica (foxtail millet). Its description in RNAcentral is "long non-coding RNA (SITA_LNC004794)". The record is from RNAcentral. Lineage: Eukaryota; Viridiplantae; Streptophyta; Magnoliopsida; Poales; Poaceae.